AAUGGAAACUUCGCUUGUCAUUUAUUUAAAACAGAUGCAUUUUAUUACAAAUUAUUAAGAGGAAUUUACACACCAUAUGGCAUUGUGCAAGACUAUUGUAGAAGAUGAAACUAAAUCAGAAUUGAAUAAGAAGACACUAUUUCAAACACCAAAUAGAAGAAGGAAUACAAAAAAAAGAAAUAUGAAUAAUAAUUUGUUUACAUUUAAGUAUACCUAUUUUAUCAAUUAUUUUAAAUCACCAUUUUGUAUUUUUACCUAAAUUAUAUCACCUAUUUAUUUCUUAAAAAGGACUUAAACUAUUAAAUUUUAAAAUUGAAUUUAUUAGCAUUUUCGUCAGUUUAGUAGAUUUAUAAAAAACAUUUUAUUUAUUUGAACUGUUGUGUUGUGGUAUGCCACAUUAUUAUAAUAAAAUAAAAU
This is a non-coding RNA of Cinara cedri, 417 nucleotides long. NCBI's taxonomy places the organism in Eukaryota, Metazoa, Arthropoda, Insecta, Hemiptera, Aphididae. The record is from the annotation of a GenBank genome assembly.